CCUACGGGUGGCAGCAGUGGGGAAUCUUGCACAAUGGGCGAAAGCCUGAUGCAGCAACGCCGCGUGAGCGAAGACGGCCUUUGGGUCGUAAAGCUCUGUCCUACGGGAAGAAGGACCUGACGGUACCUUAGGAGGAAGCCCCGGCUAACUCCGGGCCAGCAGCCGCGGUAAUACGGAGGGUGCGGGCGUUAAUCGGAAUUGCUGGGCGUAAAGGGCUCGUAGGCGGUAUGGCAAGUCAAGGGUGAAAUCCCCGCGCUCAACGCGGGAACUGCCUUUGAAACUGGCAAACUGGAGUGUGCGAGAGGAUAGUGGAAUUCCAGGUGUAGGAGUGAAAUCCGUAGAUAUCGGGCGGAACACCAGUGGCGAAGGCGACUAUCUGGCGCAUAACUGACGCUGAGGAGCGAAAGCGUGGGUAGCAAACAGGAUUAGAUACCCUUGUAGUC
Molecule: ribosomal RNA, 443 nt
Filed under: uncultured bacterium
Lineage: Bacteria
Description: partial 16S ribosomal RNA
Rfam family: Bacterial small subunit ribosomal RNA
Source: RNAcentral